AUUGAGCGCUGGCGGCAUGCCUUACACAUGCAAGUCGAACGGUAACAGGUCUUCGGAUGCUGACGAGUGGCGAACGGGUGAGUAAUACAUCGGAACGUGCCCGAUCGUGGGGGAUAACGAAGCGAAAGCUUUGCUAAUACCGCAUAAGAUCUACGGAUGAAAGCAGGGGACCGCAAGGCCUUGCGCUAACGGAACGGCCGAUGGCAGAUUAGGUAGUUGGUGGGAUAAAAGCUUACCAAGCCGACGAUCUGUAGCUGGUCUGAGAGGACGACCAGCCACACUGGGACUGAGACACGGCCCAGACUCCUACGGGAGGCAGCAGUGGGGAAUUUUGGACAAUGGGCGAAAGCCUGAUCCAGCCAUGCCGCGUGCAGGAUGAAGGCCUUCGGGUUGUAAACUGCUUUUGUACGGAACGAAAAGACUCUUUCUAAUAAAGAGGGUCCAUGACGGUACCGUAAGAAUAAGCACCGGCUAACUACGUGCCAGCCGCCGCCGUAA
RNAcentral lists this ribosomal RNA (498 nucleotides) under uncultured bacterium. RNAcentral describes it as "partial 16S ribosomal RNA". It matches the Rfam family "Bacterial small subunit ribosomal RNA", at positions 30 to 523 of the family's 1533-position model. The record is from RNAcentral.